GUAUCUUCGGAUAUGAGUAGAGCGGCGGACGGGUGAGUAACGCGUAGGAAUCUACCUAGUAGAAGGGGAUAGCCCGAGGAAACUCGGAUUAAUACCGUAUACCUCCUUCGGGAGAAAGAAGGCCUCUCUUUGAAGCUUUCGCUACUAGAUGAGCCUGCGUAAGAUUAGCUUGUUGGUGAGGUAAAGGCUCACCAAGGCUACGAUCUUUAGCGGGUCUGAGAGGACGAUCCGCCACAUUGGGACUGAGACACGGCCCAGACUCCUACGGGAGGCAGCAGUGGGGAAUAUUGGACAAUGGGCGAAAGCCUGAUCCAGCCAUACCGCGUGUGUGAAGAAGGCCCUAGGGUUGUAAAGCACUUUAAGUUGGGAAGAAAAGUUAUUGGUUAAUACCCAAUGACCGUGACAUUACCAUCAGAAUAAGGACCGGCUAAUUCCGUGCCAGCAGCCGCGGUAAUACGGAAGGUCCAAGCGUUAAUCGGAAUUACUGGGCGUAAAGCGCGCGUAGGUGGUUUAUUAAGUUGGGUGUGAAAUCCCCGGGCUCAACCUGGGAACUGCAUCCAAAACUGAUUCACUAGAGUACGAUAGAGGGAGGUAGAAUUCACAGUGUAGCGGUGGAAUGCGUAGAUAUUGUGAAGAAUACCAAUGGCGAAGGCAGCCUCCUGGAUCUGUACUGACACUGAGGUGCGAAAGCGUGGGUAGCGAACAGGAUUAGAUACCCUGGUAGUCCACGCCGUAAACGAUGUCAACUAUCUGUUGGAAAGCAUUGCUUUUCAG
RNAcentral lists this ribosomal RNA (774 nucleotides) under gamma proteobacterium SCGC AAA076-P17. RNAcentral's name for it is "bacterial SSU rRNA". It matches the Rfam family "Bacterial small subunit ribosomal RNA", at positions 74 to 843 of the family's 1533-position model. Lineage: Bacteria; Pseudomonadati; Pseudomonadota; Gammaproteobacteria. The record is from RNAcentral.